GGAUGUGAGGGCGAUCUGGCUGCGACAUCUGUCACCCCAUUGAUCGCCAGGGUUGAUUCAGCUGAUCUGGCUGGCCUGGCAGGUGUCCUCUUCCUCCCUACCGCUCCAUGUAUGUCCCUCCGGAGAAGCUGCGCGCUCGGUCGAAGAGGACGACCAUCCCUGAUAGAGGAGGACUGUUCUGCGGUCAAGGGUAUACCAGUAGCUGCACUCCCCUGCUAGAACCUCCCAAAAAAAUUCCAUCUAGAUAUGCCUCCAUAUGUAAUUGCCCUCAAGCAUCUGAAUGGCUAACUCCUCUACCUCUCUGUUGGU
RNAcentral lists this small nuclear RNA (309 nucleotides) under Vulpes vulpes (red fox). RNAcentral describes it as "7SK RNA (ENSVVUG00000010055.1)". It matches the Rfam family "7SK RNA", at positions 1 to 250 of the family's 331-position model. From Rfam's summary of the family: 7SK was discovered as an abundant small nuclear RNA in the mid-70s but a possible function has only recently been suggested. Two independent studies have found that 7SK RNA binds the CDK9/cyclin T complex (known as elongation factor P-TEFb). The record is from Rfam by way of RNAcentral. Lineage: Eukaryota; Metazoa; Chordata; Mammalia; Carnivora; Canidae.